UUUCGAAUUAUUCACAAUGGGCGAAAGCCUGAUGGUGCGACGCCGCGUGAGGGAUGAAGGUCUUCGGAUUGUAAACCUCUGUCACCGGGGAAGAAUGGCUAUGACCUAACACGUCAUGGAUUGACUUAACCCGGAGAGGAAGCAGUGGCUAACUCUGUGCCAGCAGCCGCGGUAAUACAGAGACUGCAAGCGUUAUUCGGAUUCACUGGGCGUAAAGGGUGCGCAGGCGGUUGCGUGUGUUGGAUGUGAAAGCCCGGGGCUCAACCCCGGAAUAGCGUCCAAAACUACGCGACUAGAGUACCGGAGAGGAUAGCGGAAUUCACGGUGUAGCAGUGAAAUGCGUAGAUAUCGUGAAGAACACCAGCGGCGAAGGCGGCUAUCUGGAAGGUAACUGACGCUCAGGCACGAAAGCGUGGGGAGCAAAAG
RNAcentral lists this ribosomal RNA (426 nucleotides) under uncultured prokaryote. Its description in RNAcentral is "bacterial SSU rRNA". It matches the Rfam family "Bacterial small subunit ribosomal RNA", at positions 355 to 774 of the family's 1533-position model. The record is from RNAcentral.